RNAcentral lists this ribosomal RNA (2604 nucleotides) under Triticum aestivum (bread wheat). Its description in RNAcentral is "partial small subunit ribosomal RNA". Lineage: Eukaryota; Viridiplantae; Streptophyta; Magnoliopsida; Poales; Poaceae. The record is from RNAcentral.
AUGUCGCUCAACCGCCUCAAGGAAACACUCCUUCCCUGCUCCUCCUCCGCGCACAGCCAAUCUCAACCCCGAUCACCCUCGCCUCCUCGCCCACCGCGGAGGCCCCCCAAGGCCUCCCUCUCGCAGCAGCUCCUCCGCCUCGAGGCCUCCUACUCCCUACCCGCGCCGCCACCGUCCCCUCCCAACCCCCUGAACCAGAAGACAGCGGAGGAUGCGGCCGAACAACCGACUUCUUCGUCGGAGGAGGACGUGGCCCCCCGCCUCCGGCGCCGUCCGGCCCCGCCACCAGCGGCCUCCUUUGAGCCCCGCGGGCCCUAUGAGCCACUUGUCCUCUCGCCGCCCGGAGAGCACCCCGUCGUCCAGGUGCCCCCAUCAAUUAAUUGCAGGCUACUUGCGCAUCAGAGGGAUGGUGUGAGAUUCUUAUACAAUCUGUAUAGAAACAACCAUGGUGGCGUGCUUGGAGAUGAUAUGGGAUUGGGAAAGACUAUUCAAACAAUAGCAUUUUUAUCCUCUGUUAUUGGAAAAGAUAAUAAUCAGGGCGAGAAAUCAACAGACAAAGGAAAGAAGUCCAGUCCUGUACUCAUCCUCUGUCCCACUUCAGUAAUUCGGAAUUGGGAAAAUGAAUUUUCUGAGUGGGCAAAUUUUUCUGUUGCUGUCUAUCAUGGUCCAAAUCGUGACUUGGUUCUUGAAAAAAUUGAAGGUCAAGGACUAGAGGUGCUCAUUACCAGUUUUGAUACUUUUAGGACUCGUGACAAGGUUUUAUGUGACAUCUCAUGGGAACUAGUGGUGGUUGAUGAGGCACACCGUCUCAAGAAUGAAAAAUCGAAGUUAUAUACAGCCUGCUUGGGAAUUACUACACGAAAACGCUUUGGUCUCACAGGAACCAUAAUGCAGAACAAGAUAAUGGAAUUAUUUAAUGUGUUUGACUGGGUUGUACCUGGUUGUUUGGGGGAUCGAGAACACUUUAGAGAAUAUUAUGACGAGCCCUUAAAACAUGGCCAGAGAUUAAGCGCUCCUGAGAGAUUUGUUCAAGUUGCUGAUAAGCGCAAGAAGCACCUUGUCUCUGUUCUAAAGAAAUUCCUGUUGAGAAGAACAAAAGAGGAGACUAUUGGGCAUCUCAUGCUUGGGAAGGAAGAUAAUAUUGUUUUCUGCAGAAUGAGUGAUGUUCAAAAACGUGUUUAUAGAAGAAUGCUGCAACAGCCUGACAUACAAAUCCUUGUAAAUAAGGAUCUCCCCUGUAGCUGCGGAAGUCCUCUGACUCAGGUUGAGUGUUGCAAGAAAAUUGAACCACGUGGCAUUAUCUGGUCCUAUCUCCACAGAGAGAAUCUGGAUGGCUGUCCUCUAUGCCCCUUCUGCCUUGUUCUUCCUUGCCUUGUCAAGCUUCAGCAGAUUAGUAACCAUCUGGAAUUGAUAAAGCCCAAUCCAAGGGAUGAGAUUGAGAAGCAGAAGAAAGACGCUGAGCUUGCGGCUGCUGUCUUUGAUACAGAUAUUGAAUUAGUUGGCGGUAGUGCUAAAAGUGAGAAUUUCAUGGGUCUCAGUGACUCAGAACACUGUGGAAAGAUGCGUGCACUGGAAAGACUUCUGUCUUUGUGGACCCUACAGGGUGACAAGAUUCUUCUUUUCAGCUAUUCUGUCAGAAUGCUCGACAUACUAGAGAAGUUUCUUAUAAGGAAGGGUUACUGCUUUUCUCGCUUGGACGGGUCGACACCCAUGAAUGCACGCCAAUCACUAGUUGAUGAAUUCAACAAAAGCCCUAGCAAACAGGUUUUUCUUAUAUCUACCCGGGCAGGCAAUUUAGGCGUUAACCUUGUCAGUGCUAACCGUGUGGUGAUUUUUGAUCCAAGUUGGAAUCCUGCACAAGAUUUGCAAGCACAGGACAGAUCGUUCCGAUUUGGACAGAAACGGCAUGUCACAGUAUUUCGCCUACUUGGAGCUGGAUCCCUAGAAGAACUCAUUUAUUCUCGACAAAUAUAUAAACAACAGCUUUCCAACAUUGCAGUCUCAGGGAAAAUAGAAAAGCGAUACUUUGAUGGCGUGCAGGAUGACAAGAAAUUUCAGGGUGAGCUCUUUGGGAUCUGUAAUCUGUUCCGUGACUUGUCUGAUAAGCUUUUUACUAGUGAGAUUAUUGAGAUGCAUGGAGAGGAUGAGAAAGCUAAAACAUCUGAAGAAACAGGGAUAAGAGAAAUAGUUGACACUGAUUUAUUUGGUACACAAGGGCAAAUGAAAUCAUCCACGGCAGCAAUAGGUGAUGAAAAUCAGGCAUUGGCUGAUUAUGGAGUUGUGUAUGCUCACCGGAACGAGGACGUUGUGAACACGAGGACACACGAUGACAACAACAACGAAAGAGACGACGGCGCGACAGAAGAAUGUGUCGAGCGCAUCUCAGAGGACCUGCAUGGUAAGAAGCAAAUAAAGCCCUCGGCGGACAGGGCGGAACUUCGCUCAGUGGAGGAACAGAAACGGAAGGAGUUCAGCCGUAUCGCGGCCUGUGUGGGUAUGAACGACCUUGAGUUCAGCAAGUGGCUGCUGUCGGUCUCUCCUCUGCAGCGGCAGCGGGUACUGGACGAUCACAGGAAGAAAAGAGUAUCACUAAAACGUAAAUGA